UACGGAGGGUGCGAGCGUUAAUCGGAAUUACUGGGCGUAAAGCGUGCGUAGACGGCUAUCUAAGUCGGGUGUGAAAGCCCCGGGCUCAACCUGGGAAUUGCAUUCGAGACUGAAUAGCUAGGGUACGGUAGAGGGAAGCGGAAUUUCCGGUGUAGCGGUGAAAUGCGUAGAUAUCGGAAGGAACAUCAGUGGCGAAAGCGGCUUCCUGGACCAGUACCGACGUUCAGGCACGAAAGCGUGGGGAGCAAACAGG
RNAcentral lists this ribosomal RNA (253 nucleotides) under uncultured bacterium. RNAcentral describes it as "partial 16S ribosomal RNA". It matches the Rfam family "Bacterial small subunit ribosomal RNA", at positions 524 to 776 of the family's 1533-position model. The record is from RNAcentral.